UUCAUUUCAGUGACCGACACAGACCAAACCAGGAGGAUGUCAACUUCUGAAGACUUUGCAUUGUCCAGUGAGAAUUUGGCAGCAAGAGACAAUGGCAGAGGCAUAGCAUUCCACUUCUUUGAUGCAGUUGACUCGGGAUACAGUUUGCAACCUGGUGUCAUCCCAACCAAUUUUGAUGUCCAACAAUUACAGGAAAUGCCUAACCUGCCUAGUCCAAGAAGAAAUCUUCAUGAAUCUGAGAACAAUGCUAUGAGAAGUCCCACGAUUGCUCUCUGUUCUUGUGAAGGAUCUCCCAUCGCCACCAUCAUUAACCUAAUGGCCGAAAUGAGUUCACGAGAGGAACUUAAAAACAGACUCCGAAGACAGUUAGUGAUUACAAUCCAGCAACGUGAUGAGUACCAGAGGAGAGACAGAGAAGCCAAAGCCAAAUUGAGGAUGUUUGAGAGAAAGGCCAUUGUGUUGAGGGCACAGGUCAGUGCUUUACAACCAGGUCAAUUCCAUUUACCAUCUGGUCAGAUCUCAAACAACUUAGUGUGAGCCAGCAGACAA
Molecule: long non-coding RNA, 549 nt
Organism: Oncorhynchus masou masou (cherry salmon)
Lineage: Eukaryota; Metazoa; Chordata; Actinopteri; Salmoniformes; Salmonidae
Exons: 3
Source: RefSeq, a predicted model, not a curated record